ACGCGCAAAAACUUGGUAUAUGGAUGCAACUUUUCGGGUGGUGAACAAGCCAUGGUCUCAGCUGUUUUCCAUCCACGCCUUCAUUAAGACUGGAGAGACCACCCGACAGUUACCAUUGGUGUUUUGUGUAAUGUCGGGUAAAAGCCAAGACGACUAUUAUAAGUUUCAAUAUUGGAUGUAUAUGCAAAUCACCCAGAAAAAGAUCAUGUAAUAACAAAAGAAAUUAUAAAAGAAAAAAAUGGAAGAAGAAAUGGCUGGAAAAAAUGAUGAUAGAGCAGCUUUUUCUUGUUACCCACCUCGGAAGAUCAAGUUGGAAAGGGCUAUUGAUAUUGUGGAGACGUUUUCUCACAGAUCUUGCUUAUCAGACAAAGACUAUGUAAGUACCAUGCAUAUUUGCUUUUUAAAUCAGGAACUGGUUCUAUACACUUGGU
This is a long non-coding RNA of Patella vulgata (common limpet), 431 nucleotides long. RefSeq lists it as uncharacterized. Lineage: Eukaryota; Metazoa; Mollusca; Gastropoda; Patellidae. The transcript is spliced from 3 exons. The record is from RefSeq and is a predicted model, not a curated record.